Molecule: ribosomal RNA, 253 nt
Filed under: uncultured bacterium
Lineage: Bacteria
Description: partial 16S ribosomal RNA
Rfam family: Bacterial small subunit ribosomal RNA
Source: RNAcentral
UACGGAGGGUGCGAGCGUUAAUCGGAAUGACUGGGCGUAAAGGGCAUGUAGGCGGAUGAUUAAGUUAGGUGUGAAAGCCCCGAGCUCAACUUGGGAAUUGCACUUAAAACUGGUCGUCUGGAGUAUUGUAGAGGAAGGUAGAAUUCCACGUGUAGCGGUGAAAUGCGUAGAGAUGUGGAGGAAUACCGGUGGCGAAGGCGGCCUUCUGGACAGAUACUGACGCUGAGAUGCGAAAGCGUGGGGAGCAAACAGG